UGGGGAAUAUUGGACAAUGGGCGAAAGCCUGAUCCAGCAAUGCCGCGUGAGUGAAGAAGGCCUUAGGGUUGUAAAGCUCUUUUACCCGGGAAGAUAAUGACUGUACCGGGAGAAUAAGCCCCGGCUAACUCCGUGCCAGCAGCCGCGGUAAUACGGAGGGGGCUAGCGUUGUUCGGAAUUACUGGGCGUAAAGCGUACGUAGGCGGUUAUUCAAGUCAGAGGUGAAAGCCCGGGGCUCAACUCCGGAACUGCCUUUGAAACUAGAUAGCUAGAAUCACGGAGAGGUAAGUGGAAUUCCGAGUGUAGAGGUGAAAUUCGUAGAUAUUCGGAAGAACACCAGUGGCGAAGGCGGCUUACUGGACGUGUAUUGACGCUGAGGUACGAAAGCGUGGGGAGCAAACAGGAUUAGAUACCCAAGUAGUCCCUGAGCGGGCUGGCAAGGCGCAU
Molecule: ribosomal RNA, 447 nt
Filed under: uncultured bacterium
Lineage: Bacteria
Description: bacterial SSU rRNA
Rfam family: Bacterial small subunit ribosomal RNA
Source: RNAcentral